GCCGGAGUAGCUCAGUUGGUAGAGCGGCGGUAUCGUAAACCGCAGGUCGCCGGUUCAAUCCCGGCCUCCGGCU
This 73-nucleotide transfer RNA is filed under the name Patescibacteria group bacterium. Its description in RNAcentral is "tRNA-Thr". It matches the Rfam family "tRNA". Rfam says of the family: Transfer RNA (tRNA) molecules are approximately 80 nucleotides in length. The record is from RNAcentral. RNAcentral also lists the same sequence under 2 other names.